CAGUCGCCACGGUAAUACGAAGGGGGCUAGCGUUGCUCGGAAUGACUGGGCGUAAAGGGCGCGUAGGCGGCGAUCAAAGUCAGGCGUGAAAUUCCUGGGCUCAACCUGGGGGCUGCGCUUGAUACUUGGUUGCUUGAGUGGGGAAGAGGGUCGUGGAAUUCCCAGUGUAGAGGUGAAAUUCGUAGAUAUUGGGAAGAACACCGGUGGCGAAGGCGGCGACCUGGUCCUUGACUGACGCUGAGGCGCGAAAGCGUGGGGAGCAAACAGGAUUAGAUACCCCAGUAGUCCCUGUCUCUUAUAC
This 301-nucleotide ribosomal RNA is filed under the name uncultured bacterium. RNAcentral's name for it is "partial 16S ribosomal RNA". It matches the Rfam family "Bacterial small subunit ribosomal RNA", at positions 509 to 807 of the family's 1533-position model. The record is from RNAcentral.